Drosophila melanogaster (fruit fly) is the source of this 272-nucleotide non-coding RNA. The record is from Ensembl. NCBI's taxonomy places the organism in Eukaryota, Metazoa, Arthropoda, Insecta, Diptera, Drosophilidae.
UCAAUUUCCAGUUUGUUUGGGCAUAAUAAUAAUCCAAGAGGCGGCAAAACGAGAUCUACGCGAAACUCAUUAACAAAGUGAUCCAACAAAACAUUGUAAUUAUGAACACGCCGCCACAGAGAAAAGAUGGUCCAUAAGCAAUCUUCAGAUCGGACCAGCAAACGUGCUUCUCGAUAUAGCUCGAAGCUAUUUUCAGCAGCAUUCCGUAAUUAAACACUUGAAAUGGACUUGGCCGUGGACCAAGUGGAGGGCCAAUAGGAACCGUAUUGGGC